This 12708-nucleotide long non-coding RNA is filed under the name Ananas comosus (pineapple). RNAcentral describes it as "long non-coding RNA (ACOM_LNC015017)". Lineage: Eukaryota; Viridiplantae; Streptophyta; Magnoliopsida; Poales; Bromeliaceae. The record is from RNAcentral.
CAACGACGAGCUCGGGGAGUUGCCGCGUGCCGAUUUCGACACCAACGACGUGCCGCGGAGCCGUUCGAGGGUACGGUUGCAGUCGUAGCGUCGCAGGGAGCUUAGGCGAGGGUGUGUUUUCGCCGUUCUCGAUGUCGCCCCGCGUUGGAUUUAGCAUACGAGGUGGGUUUAUCAUCGGAUUUCUACUCCUAUAGCCUCGUUAGUCAACAUGUAUAGUUAGGAUAUCUGCGUUGGUACUGUUUAGCUCAGAUUCAUGUUUAUUUGUUCUAGGCCUAUAUAUUGAAUUGGGAGCAUCUUACUGUUUGUUAUUAAUUAUACAUGUUGGACUUGGAUAAAACAUAGGAGAAAACCAGUGUUCGAAACCUGUCAUAUGUUAAACUACCUGAUUUAGCCUUAGGGGCCGUUGUUCUUUUAUACAGUUGUAGUGUUCUUGUGGUGAGUACCCCAGGUAGUCUAAUUUACUGUUACACUCGUGCUGGGAUGCCGAGUCUAUUUUUACAGUAGUGUUUAGACUGUUCCGGACUAGUGGGUGCCGUCGCGGUUGACGGUGGAUCCGAAUUUGGUCAUUUUGAGAUCCGAUUGUGCCGAGGGCACGUGACUAGUGGUUAGUAGUCAAUUGGACUUAUUUUCUUGACUUUAGCCUGUAAGAGCCUGAUUGAGCUCGACAGAGAUACGCUUGCAAACUCGGUUGGGUCGCGCCCACGAGUUGCCGCUCCGGAGUCUGGCUUUGUACUUUCGCGUUGAUGUUGCUAUUUUGUUUUGCUAUCCACGGACUGCUUAGUGUGGAGGUAGCGCGGUUUAGAUCACAGGCGGGACGGGUGCGUACACAGUCCCUAUUGAGAUUGGGUCAGAAUUGAUAAUAGACACAGUUGAAUAGUGUAGUGGCAUGUAGCUGUAGAUUGCUUUUCAGCUUUACCUACUAAUUUCGUUUCCUAUUGUAGUCUUAGUGGGUGAGUCGAUGAUUUUGAGGGCGGUACCCACUGAGGACUACUUGUUUUUACAGUAGUUCUCACGCCCAGUUGUUACUUUGUGUUUUGCAGAGCCUGCUGUUCCGGCUGCUGCGUCUUCUGAGGCUGAUCGAGGCAAGGGUGUCGCGAACUAGAGCCCUACCCGACGAGUUGCUGAGAUAGAGGAGGACCAGCUGUAGGUAGUCCUGGUUUACUUUUGAGCUUUUGUACAUACUGAUGCUAGAUCUCGCUGGAGCGAGUACUUUUGUACUUAGUUAUCUUGUAUGUAUAUGAGAUUUGUUCGUUCUACCUGCUUAGUAUCUUUACAGCUCUAUACUACUGGUUGUAGUAUCGUAUGUUCUACGGUUACCGUUACGCUUCGUAUACAGGGAAAUUCUUUGUAUACGGCGGAUUUGUCUGCGUGCUCGAAAAAUGGGUAAUCCGGGACGUGAUAGAUUAAGUUGGUAUCAGAGCUUAGCAUUAGGUCGUUGGGACCUAGAAAACCUAAGUUUGAUAAACCUUAGGAAGGCAAGACGCGAGAGGCGUAAUUUAUUGCGAAAGUCAAUGAUUAAUUGUUCUAACUCCUCCUAGAGUGGGGUGAGUGAUUGAAGGAGUGCCUGUUUUGGCCUGAGAAAUUAUGUUUGUUGCAGACAACAUAAUUUUGGAGGAAAACAUGGACUGCCUUCCAGACUUUCGUUUAUUGGGUCGAGAGUGCUUAUGUUUAUCUGACCCUGCUUUUUUUUUUUUGCAGCUAUGUAUCAUCGUCGAGGCCGACCGUCGACACGGGACCGGGCACAGUUGGCACAGGAUCAUGUGGGACCUUCUUAGAUGCCUAAGCAGGCGGAGCCGAGUGCCCGGCAAGAGCAGGGUGUUCGACCGGAGGCGAGUGCAUCCUCGGGCUUGACUGCACAGUUGGCCGCCCUGACCGAGGUGACGAGGCGGCAGGGGGAGUUGUUGGAGAGGAUGUGUGAGAGGCUAGCUUCGCCCCAGAGUUCAGCACCGAGGGUACCAGAGUCGUCUGUUCCACCUCCGACUACCCCAGUGACAGCACCAGCUGCAGCAGUCCCUCCGCCAACAGCAGUUUCAGUAGCGCCAGUUGCGCCUGCUAAGAGGCCAGUACAGUUGACAGAGGCCGAGCAGGAGCGGUGGACGGAGAGGUUGGCUUGUUUCCGCCAUUUUGAUCCACCAAUUUUCGAUGAUAGUUGCACUGAGGCCUGGGUUUUUGAGGGAUGGGUCAGUGCGAUGGAGAAGUUAUUUGAGAAUCUGUUCAUUCCUGAGGGGGAGCAGGUGUCUUUGGGAGUCCAUUGCUUGGCAGGUGAUGCCCACGCCUAGUGGAGGAGAGUGAGGAGAGAGCAGGGACUGGUGGCGUUGCAGUUGAGAUGGGAUGAGUUCUGUGGAAUACUGUUUGGGAUGUUCUUUCCCAACAGUGUGAAACAGAAGCUCGAUGAGGAUUUGAAGAAGAUCCAGCAGGGGGAUCGUCCACUGCAGGAGUAUAUUCGGGAGUUUACUCGACUCCUGAACUACGUGCCAUUUGUGGCCAAGGACAAGGCACACAGGGUUUAUCUGUUUGAGCAGGGGCUGAGACCCGACAUCUUCAGGUUGGCGCGGACGCAGAGGUCGAGGACUCUGGAUGCGGCUAUAGAGCAGGCUUUAUGGGUGGAGAGAGGUGAGGUAUCACUGCAGGAGAGGACUCAGGCCGUGGGGCAGAGUCGGGACAGGAGCGCCCCUUUUCAGAUUAUGCUAGACAAUCAAGCAGCCGGCGUCCGCCGAGACCUCCACGAUCGCGUUCUCAGAGUCGUGGAUUCUCGGGGCGUCAGCGUUCUGGGGGACCUCGGCAGUAGAGGCAGUCACAGGGGUUACCAUCAUGCGUGAUAUGUGGGGGACCACACUGGGCCCGGCAGUGCGAGCAACAUGAGGGUCGGUGUUUUGGAUGUGGACAGCCAGGGCACAUGAGGUCAGCUUGUCCCCGAGCAGUAUCACCAGCGCCAUCGACCGCUUCAGCAUCAUCAGCACCUCAGCAGUCUUUUGGAGCACCGCAGAGCUACUGCCAGGAGGACAGGGCAUUUGCGCCACGUCAGGGUGAGCGGCGACAGCGGGCUCCGAGUGGCAGGGUCUAUGCAGCCCAUGUGGAGGACUCUAUAGCGGCCGACCAAGUGGUGGCAGGUAUCACUUUGAUUUCUGGCAUUAGAGUUCGUACUCUCUUUGAUACCGGUGCAUCUAAUUCGUUUAUUAGCCGAGCAUUUGCAUUAUUGCAUGGUCUAGAGUUAGGAGCCUUGUCUCAGGCACGAGAUGUGCAGAUCCCAGACCAUGUUUUAUAGGUUGCGUAGUGUUGUUGGUCAUGUCCAGUGCAGUUAGACUCGUGGAUCAUGCCUGCAGACCUGUUGGUGUUAGGGCAGCUGCAGGACUUCGACGUCGUGUUCGGUAUGGAUUGGCUGGCGCGGUACUAUGCUACUAUCGAUUGUGAAGCGAGGACAGUGACGUUCUGCAAGCCAGGCCAGGAGGAGUUUACUUUUAGAGGCUGCAGGAGUACACUGUUUGCCACUUGGAUAUCUUCGGCGAGGGCUCGACAGCUGAUGAGUAGAGGAUGUGUUGUCUUUCUAGCGACUGUUGUUGAGGUAUCUACGGCGGCGCCGGGACUCGAGGAUAUUCCUGUAGUCCGCGAGUUUCCAGAUGUGUUUCCCCUGAGUUGAUGACGAUGCCGCCGGAGAGGGAGAUUGAGUUUGUGAUUGAUGUAGUUCCUGGAACUGCACCAAUCUCAAAGAUACCUUAUCGGAUGGCACCAGCGGAGCUGAGAGAGCUAAAGGCGUAGCUUCAGGAUCUGAUGGAUAAGGAGUAUGUGAGACCCAGUGUAUCGCCUUGGGGAGCGCCGAUAUUAUUUGUAAAGAAAAAGGAUGGGUUGCUCAGGUUGUGCGUAGAUUACCGGGGGCUGAAUAAAGUGACCAUCAAGAACAAGUAUCCACUGUCGCGCAUUGAAGAUUUGUUUGAUCAGUUGCAGGGAUCCUUCGUCUUCUCGAAGAUUGAUCUUCAGUCCGGUUACCACCAGCUGAGGGUGAAGGCCGAGGAUGUUUCCAAAACGGCUUUUCGGACUCGGUACGGGCAUUAUGAGUUUACGGUCAUGCCUUUUGGAUUGACGAAUGCCCCUGCCGCAUUCAUGGAUUUGAUGAACAGGGUGUUCAAGCCGUUCUUGGAUAGAUUUGUGGUAGUCUUCAUUGAUGAUAUUCUGAUUUGUUAGGUCCUAUGUGUUGGCAAGUUUUGUGGGUCGAGUUGGAGUCUUGAAGAAGUCCGGAGCGGAGUAUUGAAGAUCGAAGAAUCCAAGACUUCGAAGAAUCGGAAAGGACGCAAAACACGUAAAACAUGAAUCACGAUGCUUAGGUAAGCUUUAAAUCAUGUUUAUGGUGAUUCAUACUUAAUUAUAGAUUUUAGAAUCAUGUUUUCAAGUUGUAAUUGAUUAGAAAGUUUCUAAGAGCUUGUAUAACUCGAAACAAUGCAUUUUCAGAGAAAAUUGCAUUAUUGUACCGGUACAAGGGUUUUUUGUCCAGGGUACAGACAUCAGCGUUUGCGCAGAAGUGUUUGAUGGUUGUUCCGGUACAACCAUCACGGCUGUACCGGUACAAGCCCUGUUCCGGAACAAGCUGCAACCUGUUCAGGGUACAGAAGCUUCGCAGAAAAAUCUUCCGUCAUGCUGUACCCUGGACAGCUUUCCUUGUUCCGGUACAAGGUGCUGAUUUUGGAAAGAAACUUUCUAAUCCUACUCUGUUUUGAUUCUAAAGUCUAUAAAUAAGCUAUAGGGGUUCUCUAAUUGAUUAAGCAUCACGAAAAUACAUAUUUGAGAAACCCUAGAGGCUCGGAUUUCAUCAAAAACCUAUUUUCUACAAAAAGCCUCUUUUAGAUCAAAUCGAGAUAUUGAAAUUUGAUAUUAAUAUGUCGAUUUGAUCUCCGCUUCGCUUGGAGUUCUAUUCCCUGGUUUUCUACAAUACUCCAAAGCGAAGGAUCACCAUAUUCAUGAUAUUCUUCAUGGUGGCGUCGUGGAUUCGGCGUAUUUGACGGCGGUUCGUGGAUUCGGAUCGUGGGCUCGUGGAUUCGAGUGGCGUCGUGGAUUCGGCGUGAUUGAAGCUUCGUGGAUUCGAAGUGGAGGCGUUCGUGGAUUCGAACGUGAGGGCGUGGACAACCCGGAGGGUAGCGCGAAGAUUCAUAGGAGGUUAAGAGAGGUUGAGUCCGUGGAGUCGGUAAUCACCUUGUAAUCUUUUCUCUUAGUGAAUUAUUUUUUCGCGUGUUGGUCCCGUGGGUUUUUCUCCAAGUUGGAGUUUUCCCACGUAAAUCUCGGUGUGCUUUUUAUUUUCCGCAUUUAUUUUUAUUGCAUCGAGAUUUGUGGUUUUUGGCCGUUCACCUAUUCACCCCCCUCUAGGUGAUAGAUACAAUCUAGAUAGAUCCUUGGGCUCCUCAAAACUUUCAAUUGGUAUCAGAGCGGGAUCUAGAUAAAUUGUUUUCUAAUGGCCGAAGGCGGUAACGUUAAUCGACCACCACUCUUCGAUGGCACGAAUUAUGCCUAUUGGAAAGUUCGCAUGAGAGCUUUUCUAAUUGCAAUCGAUGAGCGUGUUUGGAAAGCUAUUGAAUUUGGUUGGGAGCACCCUACCGAAGUUGUCAAUAACGCUACCGUUCCUAAACCACGGAACAAGUGGACAAAAGAUGAAAACGAGUCAUCUUCGUUUAACGGUAAAGGAAUUAAUGCUUUAUUCAACGCUUUAUCGCAAACGGAGUUUACUCGGGUUUCGGCAUGCGAAACGGCAAAGGAAAUUUGGGAUACUCUACAAGUUACGCAUGAAGGAACAAGCUUAGUAAAGGUCCAAAAAUUGCAAAUGCUAACUAGCAAGUUUGAUUCAAUUUCUAUGGACGAAAAUGAGACCUUUACCGAGUACUAUACGCGUCUACAAGACGUUGUGAAUACAUGUGCUAACUUGGGAGAGAAAAUCCCGGAUUCAAAGGUUAUUAGGAAAAUUCUUCGAACUCUUCCGGAACGCUUUCGGGCAAAGGUUGCCGCGAUCGAAACGGUUAAGCAUCCGGACGAGAUGAAAGUCGAAGAAUUAGUAGGCGCUUUACAAACGUAUGAGAUGACUUUUCCUACUAAUCCAUCUUCUUCCAAGUCUUUCUCUAAAAGUACAGGGGUUGCGUUGAAAUCGACAAAAGAGGAAGACGGAGACUCGGAUUCCGACGGAGAUGUUUCUCUUGCCGACUUCGAACAUCAACUUGCACUUCUAACGAAGAAGUUUCGUCGGAAUUUCCGAAAGAAGAACAACUCGGACAAGGCUUCAUCAUCUAAGCGACAAUCUUUUUCUAAAUCUUCUACAUCUAAAGAGAAGAAGCGUGCAAAGGCUUCGAAAGAAAAGGAUGAAUUUGAAGGCGAAAUCCGAUGUUUCAAGUGCAAAGGCUACGGUCACAUAGCUACGGAUUGUCCCUCAAAGAAAUCAUAUACUAAGAAGGCAAUGCAAGCAAAGACGUGGGAUGAUACAACUUCGAGUGAUUCAAGCUCGAGUAACGAAGAAAAGAAUGGAAACCUUGCCCUAUUUGCUACAUCUACCUUACCUUCGUCUAACGUUGUGUGUUUAUCCUCUAUUGCUACUAAUUCCAAUAUUUCUUUUUCUUCACAUGACUCUUCGAGCAACAAUGGCGAAAGUGAGGAGGAAUCAAACGACGACGACAUAGCGGAAGCGUAUAAUAAACUUCUCAUUGAAUCAAAGAAGAUGACUAAGUUGAAUAAGAAGUUGAGACGUCGUUUGUUGGAUCUUGAGGAGGAAAACAACAACGCAAAGACUUUGAAUGAGGCUCUUGAGGAAGAAAGGGAUUCAAGCUUGAAGAAUAAUUCGGACCUCUAAGAGAAGCUUAAUGAAGUGGAAUUAACGAUCAAAUCAUAUAAAUACAAGGUUGGAUUUUUGGAGCAACAAUUCAAGGAAUCGCACACAUCCAACAAGUCACUGACCAAUCAAGUUCGUCAACUUCAAUCCGACAUUCAACGAUUUUCUUCCGGAUCAAAGAAACUAGAUCAUAUGCUCGGAUUGGGUCAAAUGAACAAGCUUGGACUCGGAUAUGAACGCACAUACGUUGAGAAGGAUUCAAUAUCAACUUCUAAAGUCUCAACAACUUCGAAAGAGAAAGUGUGUCAUAAAUGUGGCAAGAAAGGACACAUUAAAAGGAAUUGCCCAAAUAAGGAAAAGAAGAAUCAAUCGGCAAUGUCUAAACCUCAAACGACAUCAUCUACAACUCGACUUCCCCCGCGGAAUCAUAAGAAAAAUCAAGUUAGUCGAGUACCUCAAAAGAACCGGACUUCUAAUGCACAACGCCAAGUUCAUGCAAACCGGGUGCAUAAGCCUCAACGACAAAUUCAACCAAAGCCUCAACCGAAGAAACCACCAACGGUCGAUCAUAAAUCUAAACAAACGGCACCAAACGUCGAAAAGCCAAGAAAACCAAAAAUCUGACAAGUUUGGAUCCGGAAAGGUGAUAUCUUUCCUUGCUCCUCGUCUUAGUCAUUUUUGAUCUUUAGUGUAAUGCUUUGAUUGGUGCUUGUUGCAUAAUUUUAUUCAUUGCAUUAUAUGUUUGAAUGAUUUUUGGUGCAUUAAAUUUUUGUUUAUUUAUAAAUCAUUUUGAGAAAAGAUGUUUAGGAAUUUAAAAUUUUCGAGAAAAGAGAUGAUUGAGAUCUAUGAUUUUGGAGAGAGAUGUAAUCACUUGACUACGCUUAUGUUUUUCUAGUAUGUUUUCUCUCUCUAUUUGCGUUCUUUUAGCAAUUUUUGACAAAAAGGGGGAGAGCGUAGAUGAAGGGGGAGAGCAUGGAUGAACAGGCAUUGAACUAAAGCAGAGGAUGAUGUGUUCAAGACCAAAGGGGGAGAUGUGAACAAAGACAGAGAAGGUAUAAGAAUUUAGUGCUAAUCAUCUUUGAAUGAAUUGUUUUGCAGGAAAUCAAGACUUCAAGACUCCUAGUUGCGUCUAAGUCAUAGAGUUUGUUUUAGGAGUUUUUGAUGUAAUUUUGAUUCUCAAUUUGUAUUUGGACUACAUGCGAGGGGUUCGAUGUUUUGGUGAUGACAUUGAACUUCGUUUUUUCUUUAAAUUAUAAUUUGUGAGUUUGUGUGUGUUUUGUCACAAAAUUGCCAAAGGGGGAGAUUGUUAGGUCCUAUAUGUUGGCAAGUUUUGUGGGUCGAGUCGGAGUCUUAAAGAAGUUCGGAGCGGAGUAUUGAAGAUCGAAGAAUCCAAGACUUCGAAGAAUCGGAAAGGACGCAAAACACGUAAAACAUGAAUCACGAUGCUUAGGUAAGCUUUAAAUCAUGUUUAUGGUGAUUCAUACUUAAUUAUAGAUUUUAGAAUCAUGUUUUCAAGUUGUAAUUGAUUAGAAAGUUUCUAAGAGCUUGUAUAACUCGAAACAAUGCAUUUUCAGAGAAAAUUGCAUUGUUGUACCGGUACAAGGGUUUUCUGUCCAGGGUACAGACAUCAGCGUUUGUGCAAAAAUGUUUGAUGGUUGUUCCGGUACAACCAUCACGGCUGUACCGGUACAAGCCCUGUUCCGGAACAAGCUGCAACCUGUUCAGGGUACAGAAGCUUCGCAGAAAAAUCUUCCGUCAUGCUGUACCCUGGACAGCUUUCCUUGUUCCGGUAUAAGGUGUUGUUUUUGGAAAGAAACUUUCUAAUCCUACUCCGUUUUGAUUCUAAAGUCUAUAAAUAAGCUAUAGGGGUUCUCUAACUGAUUAAGCUUGAUAAGAAUACAUGUUUGAGAAACCCUAGAGGCUCGGAUUUCAUUCUAAACCUAUUUCUACAAAUUAGCCUCUUUAGAUCAAAUCGAGAUAACGUUUCGCAUUCGCUAUAUGUCGAUUUGAUCUAGUUUUCGCUUGGAGUUUUCUUCCUUGGUUUUCUACGAUACUCCUAAGCGAAGGAUCACCAUAAUCAUGAUGCUCUUCAUGAACGGCGUCGUGGAUUCGGCGUGAACAAAGGCGGUUCGUGGAUUCGGAUCGUUGGCUCGUGGAUUCGAGUGGCGUCGUGGAUUCGGCGUGAUUGAAGCUUCGUGGAUUCGAAGUGGAGGCGUUCGUGGAUUCGAACGUGAGGGCGUGGACAACCCGGAGGGUAGCGCGAAGAUUCAUAGGAGGUUAAGAGAGGUUGAGUCCGUGGAGUCGGUAAUCACCUUGUAAUCUUUUCUCUUAGUGAAUUAUUUUUUCGCGUGUUGGUCCCGUGGGUUUUUCUCCAAGUUGGAGUUUUCCCACGUAAAUCUCGGUGUGCUUUUUAUUUUCCGCAUUUAUUUUUAUUGCAUCGAGAUUUGUGGUUUUUGGCCGUUCACCUAUUCACCCCCCUCUAGGUGAUAGAUACAAUCUAGAUAGAUCCUUGGGCUCCUCAAAACUUUCAUGAUUUACUCCCGUAGUGAUGUUGAGCAUGAGAAGCACUUGAGGAUUGUGCUACAGCUUCAGCGAGAGAAGAAGCUGUAUGCCAAGUUAAAGAAGUGCGAGUUUUGGUUGCGGGAAGUUGCUUUCUUGGGCCACGUGAUUUCUGCAGAGGGAGCAGCAGUAGAUCCGAAGAAGAUUGAUGCUAUUCGGGAUUUGCCCAGACCAACGACGGUGACUGAGUUGCGGAGUUUUCUCGGACUAGCAGGAUAUUACCAUCAGUUUGUGAAGGGCUUUGCGAAGCUUUCCACACCCCUUACCAGGUUGAAACGGAAGGGGAUUCGAUUUGUUUGGUGUGAGGACUGCCAGAGGAGGUUCGACGAGUUGAGACAGAGAUUGAUGACAGCUCCUAUCCUUGCCCUUCCUGUGAUGGGGGAAGGAUUUGUGAUCUAUAGUGAUGCAUCGCACAACGGACUGGGUUGUGUGUUGAUGCAGCAUGGUAAGGUGAUUGCUUAUGCGUCACGGCAGUAAAAGGAUUAUGAGAAGAAUUACCCUACUCAUGAUUUGGAGCUUGCCGCAGUAGUCUUUGCUUUGAAGUUGUGGCGACAUUACUUGUACGGCGAGCACUGCGAGGUUUUCACCGAUCACAAAAGUCUCAAGUAUCUGUUCACUCAAAAGGAAUUGAAUCUGAGGCAGCGCCGGUGGUUGGAGUUACUGAAAGACUAUGAUAUUAGUAUUCAAUAUCAUCCUGGUAGGGCGAAUGUAGUGGCAGAUGCGUUGAGCAGGAGGGCAGCGCAGAGCUUGAGCUUGUUGAUCACUCAGCAGAGACCGCUACUUGAGGAGCUACAGCGGCUGAAGCUUCAGGUGGUGUCCCCUGGGUCUACUGCAAGACUGAUGUCUCUGGUCUUGCAGCCCACUCUGUUGGAUAGGAUCCGGGAGAAACAGAGUGGAGAUCCGUACUUGUUGAGGAUUAGAGAGCAGCUAGACAGGGGGCAGGCUGAGGGAUUUGCCUUGGACAGUUCGGGAGUACUGCGGUACAAGGACCGACUGUGUGUGCCUGUAGAUUUAGAGAUUCGAGAGGACAUCUUGAGGGAGGCUCAUUGUACACCUUAUACGGUUCAUCCUGGGGGAACCAAGAUGUAUAAGGAUUUGAAUGCACAGUUUUGGUGGAAUGGGAUGAAGAGGGACAUUGGCAGAUUUGUAGCUCAGUGUCUCACUUGUCAACAGGUAAAGGUCGAGCGUCAGGUACCUGCUGGCAAGCUUCAGAGUCUGCCAGUGCCCGAGUGGAAAUGGGAGUAUAUCACUAUGGACUUCGUUGUGGGAUUGCCUAGAGCGCAGGGUGGCUACGAUGUGAUUUGAGUGAUAGUGGACAGACUGACCAAGUCUGCUCACUUCUUACCGGUUCAGAUCACCCGGUCCAAAGAAAGACUCGCGCAGUUUUAUUUGGAUGAGAUCGUCAGACUACAUGGUGUGCCAGUAUUGAUUGUAUCAGACCGAGACCCGAGGUUUGUGUCGCAUUUAUGGAGGAGUUUACAGACAGCUUUGGGGACUCAGUUAUAUUUCAGCACAGCAUUUCACCCACAGACGGAUGGUUAGUCGGAGCGGACCAUUCAGACUCUAGAGGACAUGUUGAGGGCGCGUGUCCUGAACUUCGGAGGAGGGUGGUAUCGACACUUGAGACUGGCAAAGUUUGCGUAUAACAACAGCUAUCAAACAAGCAUUCAGAUGGCUCCAUUUGAGGCGUUGUAUGGACGCAGGUGUCGAUCCCCGUUGUUUUGGAGUAAUGUGGGUGAGAAGAAGACACUUGGGCCUAAGAUUUUGCUAGAGGCUGAGAAAAAGGUGAGAGUUGUUCGACGACACCUUUUAACAGCCCAAAGCCGCCAGAGGAGCUACGCCGAUACCAGGAGACGAGAUUUGGAGUUCCAGGUUGGAGAUCAUGUUUUUCUUAAAGUCUCGCCGUCCAAAGGGAUUCGCCGAUUUGGAGUGCGUGGAAAGCUCAGUUCACGUUUCGUUGGCCCUUUUGAGAUAUUGGAGCUAGUUGGACCAAUUGCCUCAGGAUUGCUCUAUCACCCUGACUAGCUGGGAUUCAUAAUGUGUUCCACGUCUCGGCGCUGAGGAGAUAUGUUUUCGAUCCAGCUCAUGUGAUUGACUUUACUCUACUAGAGAUUGGCGAGAAUCUGAGAUACGAGGAGUGACCGAUGCGGAUUCUUGCUCGUGAGACGAAAGAAUUGCGCAACCAGGUCAUCUCGUAUGUGAAAGUGCAGUGGAGCAACCACGAGGAGUAAGAGGCGACUUGGGAGCCCGAGAUGUGAUGAGGGAGUCCUACCCCGACCUGUUUGUUUCUCCGUGUUGAGGUAUGUUUUAAGUUUUGAGGACGAAACUUUUUGUAGUGGAGGAGGAUGUAGUAUCCUUAUUUUUUAUUAUUAUUAUUAUUAUUAUUAUUAUUAUUAUUAUUUUAUUUUUAUUUGGUAUAAAAUAGAUUUGCCUUUGGGGGAUAUGGAUGCCACGUGCAUCAAUUUCCUUCCCCCUCUCCCAUGCAUACCUAUCAACUUAAGUACAGAGGGUGUGCAUGCACUUCAUCAAUUAAUUCUCUCUUUCGUUUCGGCCGAAGCAACGACGAGCUCGGGGAGUUGCCGCGAGCCGAUUUCGACACCAACGACGCGCCGCGGAGCCGUUCGAGGGUACGGUUGCAGUCGUAGCGUCGCAGGGAGUUUAGGCGAGGGCGUGUUUUCGCCGUUCUCGACGUCGCCCCGCGUUGGAUUUAGCAUACGAGGUGGGUUUAUCAUCGGAUUUCUACUCCUAUAACCUUGUUAGUCAACAUGUAUAGUUAGGAUAUCUGCGUUGGUACUGUUUAGCUCAGAUUUAUGUUUAUGCAUUGUUUUAGGCCUAUAUAUUGAAUUGUGAGCAUGUUACUGUUUGUUAUUAAUUAUACAUAUUGGACUUGGAUAAAAUAUAGGAGAAAAUCAGUGUUCGGAACCUGUCAUAUGUUAAACUACCUGAUUUAGCCUUAGGGGCCGUUGUUCUUUUAUACAGUUGUAGUGUUCUUGUGGUGAGUAUCUCAGGUAGUCUAAUUUACUGUUAUACUCGUGCUGGGAUGCCGAAUCUAUUUUUACAGUAGUGUUUAGACUGUUCCGGACUAGUGGGUGCCGUCGCGGUUGACGGUGGACCCGAAUUUGGUCAUUUUGAGAUCCGAUUAUGCCGAGGGCACGUGACUAGUGGUUAGUAGUCAAUUGGACUUAUUUUUUUGACUUUAGUCUGUGAGAGUCUGAUUGAGCUCGAUAGAGAUACGCUUGCAUACUUGGUUGGGUCGCACCUACGAGUUGCCGCUUCGGAGUCUGGUUUUGUACUUUCGCGUUGAUGUCGCUAUUUUGUUUUGCUAUCCACGGACUGCUUAGUGUGGAGGUAGC